RNAcentral lists this long non-coding RNA (1533 nucleotides) under Numida meleagris (helmeted guineafowl). Its description in RNAcentral is "lncRNA (ENSNMEG00000004916.1)". Lineage: Eukaryota; Metazoa; Chordata; Aves; Galliformes; Numididae. The record is from RNAcentral.
GGUUUCUGUGAUGGGUUGGGGCCAUGAGAUCUGUGGGACCUUGGGAUGUGUUUGGGCCAUGGGAUGUCCUGUUUUUUUUGGAUGUGUCGAUCCUGAUUGAUCGACGUGCAAAACUCUUCCCUGAUCCAUAACUUUCCAUUGGUUUAACUCCUUCUUGGAACCAAACAGGUGAUUGUCCACUUAGCAGUGCAAAAAGAUUUGGGGAUUAGGGAUGGGAGCGGCCAUGGGAUGAGGAUCUGUUCCCUCUGAACCUGAAUUUCCUUUGCUUAUAUUUUGCAGAGACAAAAGAUGCAGAGUUGGGUAAGUCUCCAUCCCCAAACUGAGGGAAGUCAGGGUCUCCCAAUGGCACAGGCCAAGGGAUGAGCAGCUGUCCCCUCUGACCAUGAAUUUCCUUUGUUUCUAUUUUGCAGAGAGAAAAGAUGAAGAGUUGGGUAAGUCUCCUUCCCCAGCUGAGGGAAUUCAGGGUCUCCCCAUGGCAGUAGCUGUGGGAUGAGCAGCUGUCCCCUCUGACCAUGAAUUUCCUUUGCUUCUAUAUUGCAGAGAGAAAAGAUGCAGAGUUGGGUAAGUCUCCUUCCCCAAACUGAGGGAAUUCAGGGUCUCCCCAUGGCAGUAGCAGUGGGAUGAGCAGCUGUCCCCUCAGACCAUGAAUUUCCUUUGCUUCUAUAUUGCAGAGAAAAAAGAUGCAGAGUUGGGUAAGUCUCCUUCCCAUAACUGAGGGAAGUCAGGGUCUCCCCAUGGCUAUAGCAGUGGGAUGAGCAGCUGUCACCUCUGAAAAUGAAUUUCCUUUGCUUCUAUUUUGCAGAUAGAAAAGAUGCAGAGUUGGGGAGAAAAGAUGCAGAGUUGAGUAAGUCUCCUUCCCCAAACAGGGGCAUUUCAGGGUCUCCCCAUCGCAUAAGCUGUGGGAUGAGCAGCUGUCACCUCUGACAAUGAAUAUCCUUUGCUUCUACUUUGCAGAGACAAAAGAUGAAGAGUUGGGUAAGUCUCCUUCCCCAAACUGAGGCAAGUCAGGGUCUCCCCAUGGUAGUAGCUGUGGGAUGAGCAGCUGUCGCCUCUGACGGUGAAUUUCCUGUGUUUCUAUUUUGCAGUGAGAAAAGAUGCAGAGUUGGGUAUGUCUCCUUCCCCAAACUGAGGGAACUCAGGGUCUCCCCAUGGCAGUAGCUGUGGGAUCAGCAGCUGUCCCCUCUCACCAUGAAUUUUCUUUGCUUCUAUUUUGCAGAUAGAAAAGAUGAAGAGUUGAGUAAGUCUCCUUCCCCAAACUGAGGGAAGUUGGGGUCUCCCCACAUCUGUAGCUGUGGGGAUGAGCAGCUGUCCCCUCUGACCAUGAAUUUCCAUUUCUGCUAUUUCGCAGAGAGAAAAGAUGCAGAGUUGGGUAAGUCUUCUUCCCGAAACUGAGGGAACUCACGGUCUCCCCAUAGCAUUAGCCAUGGGACGAGCAGCUGUCCCCUCUGACGUUGAAUUUUCUUUGUUUCUAUUAUGCAGUUAUUAAAGGUGCAGAGUUGGGUAAGUCUCCUUCCCCAAACUGAGGGAAUUCAG